GAUGAACGCUAGCGGCAGGCCUAACACAUGCAAGUCGAGGGAGGAGCUUUCGGGCUUCGACCGGCGUACGGGUGCGUAACGCGUAUACAAUCUGCCUUUCACAUAGGGAUAGCCCGAAGAAAUUUGGAUUAAUACCUAAUAGUAUAUAGAUGUGGCAUCACCUUUAUAUUAAAGCUGAGGCGGUGAAAGAUGAGUAUGCGUUCUAUUAGCUAGUUAGAGAGGUAACGGCUCCCCAAGGCGACGAUAGAUAGGGGUUCUGAGAGGGAUAUCCCCCACACUGGUACUGAGAUACGGACCAGACUCCUACGGGAGGCAGCAGUGAGGAAUAUUGGACAAUGGUCGGAAGACUGAUCCAGCCAUGCCGCGUGCAGGAAGACGGCCUUAUGGGUUGUAAACUGCUUUUGCAGGGGAAGAAUAAGGAGUACGUGUACUUUGAUGACGGUACUCUGCGAAUAAGCAUCGGCUAACUCCGUGCCAGCAGCCGCGGUAAUACGGAGGAUGCGAGCGUUAUCCGGAAUCAUUGGGUUUAAAGGGUCCGUAGGCGGGCUAAUAAGUCAGAGGUGAAAGCGCUCAGCUCAACUGAGCAACUGCCUUUGAAACUGUUAGUCUUGAAUGGUUGUGAAGUAGUUGGAAUGUGUAGUGUAGCGGUGAAAUGCUUAGAUAUUACACAGAACACCGAUAGCGAAGGCAUAUUACUAACAAUUAAUUGACGCUGAUGGACGAAAGCGUGGGGAGCGAACAGG
This 743-nucleotide ribosomal RNA is filed under the name uncultured Capnocytophaga sp. RNAcentral's name for it is "bacterial SSU rRNA". It matches the Rfam family "Bacterial small subunit ribosomal RNA", at positions 28 to 776 of the family's 1533-position model. Lineage: Bacteria; Pseudomonadati; Bacteroidota; Flavobacteriia; Flavobacteriales; Flavobacteriaceae. The record is from RNAcentral.